CUACUUACCUGGUAGGGGUGAUUCCAUGAUCACGAAGGUGGUUUCCCCAGGGCGAGGCUUAUUCAUUGCACUACCGAUGGGCUGACUCCUGUGAUUUCUCCAAAUGCGGGAAACUUUAUAAUUUGUAGUAGUGGGAGACUGCGUUCGCGCUUUCCCCUG
Small nuclear RNA from Dromiciops gliroides (monito del monte), 159 nucleotides. RefSeq annotates it as U1 spliceosomal RNA. Lineage: Eukaryota; Metazoa; Chordata; Mammalia; Microbiotheria; Microbiotheriidae. The transcript has a single exon. The record is from RefSeq and is a predicted model, not a curated record.